This 2902-nucleotide ribosomal RNA is filed under the name Klebsiella pneumoniae. RNAcentral describes it as "23S ribosomal RNA". It matches the Rfam family "Bacterial large subunit ribosomal RNA". Lineage: Bacteria; Pseudomonadati; Pseudomonadota; Gammaproteobacteria; Enterobacterales; Enterobacteriaceae. The record is from RNAcentral.
GGUUAAGCGACUAAGCGUACACGGUGGAUGCCCUGGCAGUCAGAGGCGAUGAAGGACGUGCUAAUCUGCGAAAAGCGUCGGUAAGGUGAUAUGAACCGUUAUAGCCGGCGAUGUCCGAAUGGGGAAACCCAGUGUGAUUCGUCACACUAUCGUUAACUGAAUACAUAGGUUAACGAGGCGAACCGGGGGAACUGAAACAUCUAAGUACCCCGAGGAAAAGAAAUCAACCGAGAUUCCCCCAGUAGCGGCGAGCGAACGGGGAGCAGCCCAGAGUCUGAAUCAGCUUGUGUAUUAGUGGAACGGUCUGGAAAGUCCGACGGUACAGGGUGAUAGUCCCGUACACCAAAAUGCACAGGCUGUGAACUCGAAGAGUAGGGCGGGACACGUGGUAUCCUGUCUGAAUAUGGGGGGACCAUCCUCCAAGGCUAAAUACUCCUGACUGACCGAUAGUGAACCAGUACCGUGAGGGAAAGGCGAAAAGAACCCCGGCGAGGGGAGUGAAAAAGAACCUGAAACCGUGUACGUACAAGCAGUGGGAGCACCUUCGGGUGUGACUGCGUACCUUUUGUAUAAUGGGUCAGCGACUUAUAUUCUGUAGCAAGGUUAACCGUAUAGGGGAGCCGCAGGGAAACCGAGUCUUAACUGGGCGUUAAGUUGCAGGGUAUAGACCCGAAACCCGGUGAUCUAGCCAUGGGCAGGUUGAAGGUUGGGUAACACUAACUGGAGGACCGAACCGACUAAUGUUGAAAAAUUAGCGGAUGACUUGUGGCUGGGGGUGAAAGGCCAAUCAAACCGGGAGAUAGCUGGUUCUCCCCGAAAGCUAUUUAGGUAGCGCCUCGUGAAUUCAUCUUCGGGGGUAGAGCACUGUUUCGGCUAGGGGGUCAUCCCGACUUACCAACCCGAUGCAAACUACGAAUACCGAAGAAUGUUAUCACGGGAGACACACGGCGGGUGCUAACGUCCGUCGUGAAGAGGGAAACAACCCAGACCGCCAGCUAAGGUCCCAAAGUCAUGGUUAAGUGGGAAACGAUGUGGGAAGGCACAGACAGCCAGGAUGUUGGCUUAGAAGCAGCCAUCAUUUAAAGAAAGCGUAAUAGCUCACUGGUCGAGUCGGCCUGCGCGGAAGAUGUAACGGGGCUAAACCAUGCACCGAAGCUGCGGCAGCGACACUAUGUGUUGUUGGGUAGGGGAGCGUUCUGUAAGCCUGCGAAGGUGUGCUGUGAGGCAUGCUGGAGGUAUCAGAAGUGCGAAUGCUGACAUAAGUAACGAUAAAGCGGGUGAAAAGCCCGCUCGCCGGAAGACCAAGGGUUCCUGUCCAACGUUAAUCGGGGCAGGGUGAGUCGACCCCUAAGGCGAGGCCGAAAGGCGUAGUCGAUGGGAAACAGGUUAAUAUUCCUGUACUUGGUGUUACUGCGAAGGGGGGACGGAGAAGGCUAUGUUAGCCGGGCGACGGUUGUCCCGGUUUAAGCAUGUAGGCUGGUUGUCCAGGCAAAUCCGGAUAAUCAAGGCUGAGGUGUGAUGACGAGGCACUACGGUGCUGAAGUAACAAAUGCCCUGCUUCCAGGAAAAGCCUCUAAGCAUCAGGUAACAUUAAAUCGUACCCCAAACCGACACAGGUGGUCAGGUAGAGAAUACCAAGGCGCUUGAGAGAACUCGGGUGAAGGAACUAGGCAAAAUGGUGCCGUAACUUCGGGAGAAGGCACGCUGGUGUGUAGGUGAAGUCCCUGCGGAUGGAGCUGAGACCAGUCGAAGAUACCAGCUGGCUGCAACUGUUUAUUAAAAACACAGCACUGUGCAAACACGAAAGUGGACGUAUACGGUGUGACGCCUGCCCGGUGCCGGAAGGUUAAUUGAUGGGGUUAUCCGUAAGGAGAAGCUCUUGAUCGAAGCCCCGGUAAACGGCGGCCGUAACUAUAACGGUCCUAAGGUAGCGAAAUUCCUUGUCGGGUAAGUUCCGACCUGCACGAAUGGCGUAAUGAUGGCCAGGCUGUCUCCACCCGAGACUCAGUGAAAUUGAACUCGCUGUGAAGAUGCAGUGUACCCGCGGCAAGACGGAAAGACCCCGUGAACCUUUACUAUAGCUUGACACUGAACAUUGAGCCUUGAUGUGUAGGAUAGGUGGGAGGCUUUGAAGCGUGGACGCCAGUCUGCGUGGAGCCAACCUUGAAAUACCACCCUUUAAUGUUUGAUGUUCUAACGUUGGCCCCUGACCGGGGUUGCGGACAGUGUCUGGUGGGUAGUUUGACUGGGGCGGUCUCCUCCCAAAGCGUAACGGAGGAGCACGAAGGUUAGCUAAUCCUGGUCGGACAUCAGGAGGUUAGUGCAAUGGCAUAAGCUAGCUUGACUGCGAGCGUGACGGCGCGAGCAGGUGCGAAAGCAGGUCAUAGUGAUCCGGUGGUUCUGAAUGGAAGGGCCAUCGCUCAACGGAUAAAAGGUACUCCGGGGAUAACAGGCUGAUACCGCCCAAGAGUUCAUAUCGACGGCGGUGUUUGGCACCUCGAUGUCGGCUCAUCACAUCCUGGGGCUGAAGUAGGUCCCAAGGGUAUGGCUGUUCGCCAUUUAAAGUGGUACGCGAGCUGGGUUUAGAACGUCGUGAGACAGUUCGGUCCCUAUCUGCCGUGGGCGCUGGAGAAUUGAGGGGGGCUGCUCCUAGUACGAGAGGACCGGAGUGGACGCAUCACUGGUGUUCGGGUUGUCAUGCCAAUGGCACUGCCCGGUAGCUAAAUGCGGAAGAGAUAAGUGCUGAAAGCAUCUAAGCACGAAACUUGCCCCGAGAUGAGUUCUCCCUGAGACUUUAAGUCUCCUGAAGGAACGUUGAAGACGACGACGUUGAUAGGCCGGGUGUGUAAGCGCAGCGAUGCGUUGAGCUAACCGGUACUAAUGAACCGUGAGGCUUAACCUU